CCUCAGAAAGGAGUCAGUCAUUGAGUUGAGGAGUCCAUAUUUUCUAAAUUUUCAACAGGACUGUGCCGACUCGUGUUGCACGCCAUUGACGGAGGAACUGUUCCCCUUCCCGGGUCAAGAACCUGCUAGAGCUCCCCGCUGCCUCCUACGACCGGCGUAACUGCAGCUUGGUUGGCUCGGACAUUCUGGCUCACGCUCGUUAACCCCAUCUCCCAACCCACCACAGGAUUCAGACAAGGUCUAAGCAUCUAGCACAGGCUCAAUAUAGCCUCUUGGUUGAUUAAAAAGUGCUUCUUGAUCAGAAGGACAAUUAAAUGCGUUGGCUGACCAUUGCAAUCCUCUAGAUGACCACGGCUAGUGAAGCCCUUCCCCGCGCUCCACAGGGGCUCAGCCAGGAACCUAGACCAACAGCACGUGUGAAACAGGUGGUGACUGGUAACGCUUCUCCUGCCGUUUAGCUCGCAGAUGGGUCUUAGGUGAGCGUUUGCUACCGGACUC
Tupaia belangeri chinensis (Chinese tree shrew) is the source of this 498-nucleotide long non-coding RNA. RefSeq lists it as uncharacterized. The record is from RefSeq and is a predicted model, not a curated record. The transcript is spliced from 3 exons. NCBI's taxonomy places the organism in Eukaryota, Metazoa, Chordata, Mammalia, Scandentia, Tupaiidae.